Molecule: unclassified non-coding RNA, 200 nt
Filed under: uncultured Tomentella
Lineage: Eukaryota; Fungi; Basidiomycota; Agaricomycetes; Thelephorales; Thelephoraceae
Description: sequence contains ITS1
Source: RNAcentral
CCGAAUUGUUGACACGAGUUGUUGCUGGUCCCUCAAUGGGGGCAUGUGCACGCUCUGUUCACACAUCCACUCACACCUGUGCACCUUCUGUGGUUCUGUGGCUUGGGGGACGCAACGUCUCCUGCCGUAGUUCUGCAUCUUUACACACACACUGUAACAACGUUUUAUGGGAUGUAUGCCGCGUGUAACGCAAUACAAUA